CAUCGCGAAAUACAAAUUAUACAAAACCAACAAAUUACCACGGUAAGUACUCUUUUAAGCUCAAGACCUUUUUUAUUUGGGAGGUCAUUUGAUAGCUGUAAAAAUGUUUUUUCUGCUAUUUAGCUGUUCAGUUAUCAAGCUACUAUCUCCAAUUCCAAAUCAUAUGUCAAUAAUGUCUAAGUAGAACGAUUUCAUAAAACUAAUGUAGGCAUAAUGGGGCUAUAAUUAUUGGUUUACCUCGUUUGGAAGGAGAGUGAGAUCUAACCAUUGAUUCUUAUGUAUUAUAGGUGGCUCAAUCUGAAUCUCAACCUUGCUCUCUACAGUGUAGAAAAAUAGGUAAGAGAAUCCAUGGGAGAAAGCAAGGUGACACAAUGGUGUAGGGUCUUAUGAAAAAGGGAAAAAGGAUAUUUGACAAAUUAGAAGAUAAAGAGCGGAAAAGGACUAAAUUAUGUCAGUAUGUUAAUUUUUAAUGUUUUUCUCAUUUUUUCUCAGGUGAUGUUCUAUAUGUUGUCAUUAAGUGUGGUUAUAGUUCAGAGAACAUUCUCCAUUUGUCUAGAAAAUCAAGUGCUUGGGCUUUCUCAUCGGCAACUCACCAGAAACUCGUUGAAGCUUUCAAUGAAGGGAAACAUGUUCGUCUAAUUUUUUCUUUAAAUGGAACGAAGGAGCUUCAAGGAUACGCUGACUUGACUGGAUCUGCUCCUGUUGAACUUAAAUCUAGUUUAUUCGGCCCUAAUCUUCAACCACCUCUUCCUAUCGAAUGGAUUGAACAGUCACCAGUUCCGUUUCAACACUCAACACCAUGCGAAAUAAGUUCUUUGGCCCUUUCAAUUUAAAUGAAGUUCCGGAUGGCCUGAUUCUAGAUUCGAAAAUAGGUGAAUCACUCUGCAGCUUAUGGGAGAAUCCAAAUGCUGCAAGGAGCUAUAGUCGGGGAAAAAUUCGGGCAAUCACUAUCGUAGCAAUGCGGGCCGUGGUAGCAACGCUUUCAAUCGGCCUAAACGUGGUUCCUAUUCUGUACAUGGCAACAGCAAUUUUGAUGAUUAUCGCUACUCAAAGAACAGUUAUAGUUACAACCAGCAAUCAUACUAUUAGAGACAAUGAUGUAUUCUCAUUUGUUUUUCUGUAG
This 1123-nucleotide long non-coding RNA is filed under the name Bemisia tabaci. RNAcentral's name for it is "lncRNA ENSSSA3NGG002229". The record is from RNAcentral. Lineage: Eukaryota; Metazoa; Arthropoda; Insecta; Hemiptera; Aleyrodidae.